ACGGAAGGCAGCAGUGAGGAAUAUUGGUCAAUGGGCGGAAGCCUGAACCAGCCAAGUCGCGUGAAGGAAGAAGGUAUUAUGUAUUGUAAACUUCUUUAGCAGCAGAGAAAUAAGGUGGACGUGUCCACUGAUGCUAGUAUGCUGAGAAUAAGCAUCGGCUAACUCCGUGCCAGCAGCCGCGGUAAUACGGAGGAUGCGAGCGUUAUCCGGAUUUAUUGGGUUUAAAGGGUGCGCAGGCGGUCUUUUAAGUCAGUGGUCAAAUCGUAGUGCUCAACGCCAUCCCGCCAUUGAUACUGGGAGACUUGAUUGCGGUUGAGGUAGGCGGAAUUCGUCGUGUAGCGGUGAAAUGCAUAGAUAUGACGAAGAACACCGAUUGCGUAGGCAGCUUACCAAGCCGUAAAUGACGCUCAUGCACGAAAGUGCGGGGAUCGAACAGGAUUAGAUACCCUGGUA
This 453-nucleotide ribosomal RNA is filed under the name uncultured Porphyromonadaceae bacterium. RNAcentral describes it as "partial 16S ribosomal RNA". It matches the Rfam family "Bacterial small subunit ribosomal RNA", at positions 341 to 792 of the family's 1533-position model. Lineage: Bacteria; Pseudomonadati; Bacteroidota; Bacteroidia; Bacteroidales; Porphyromonadaceae. The record is from RNAcentral.